UUCCCCAAAAUCCCCCAAAAACCUUCCUCGAAAUCCCCCAGAAAACUCCCAAAAUCCUCCAAAAUCCUUCCCCAAAAUCCCCCAAAUCCUUCCUCAAAAUACCCAAAAAAAACCUCCAAAAUCCUUCCCUAAAAUCCCCCCCAAAAAACCCCAAAAUCCCCCCAGAAAACUCAAAAUCCCUUCCUCAAAAUCCCCCCAAAAAUCCCAAAAUGCUUCCACAAAAUCCUCCAAAAUCCUUCCACCAAAAACUCCAAAAUCUCUCCCCAAAAUCCAACCCCAAACCCCCCCAAAACCCCAAAAUCCUUUCCCAAAAUCCCUCUCCCCAAAAAAACUGGCCGGGAAUGUUGGGGGAGGGGUCCUGGGGGGAUUUGGGGGCUCCUGGAGGAAUCUGGGAAGGUUCUGGA
Molecule: long non-coding RNA, 404 nt
Filed under: Zonotrichia albicollis (white-throated sparrow)
Lineage: Eukaryota; Metazoa; Chordata; Aves; Passeriformes; Passerellidae
Description: lncRNA (ENSZALG00000000400.1)
Source: RNAcentral